Molecule: long non-coding RNA, 2258 nt
Organism: Equus caballus (horse)
Lineage: Eukaryota; Metazoa; Chordata; Mammalia; Perissodactyla; Equidae
Source: Ensembl
AUUAACUGAAUCAACAAAUAUAUACCAGCAUGUACCAUGUUCAGACUUUGAAGUAGAUUCUGAGGAUGCAAAGGUGACCAAAGCAUUGACCCUUCCCCAUGAGCAUGCUCAACUGAGACAGAGGCAGACAUAUACAGAGAUCACUAUAAGGUUAUGUCCUCAAUUAUUAUGCAUAUCAGAAUCACCUGGGCAACUGCUACAAUUGCAAUUCUUGGUCCUGCAUCCAGAGAUUCUAAUUUGCUCAGUCUGGGUGGGGGCCUGAGAACUCCGUAUUUAGUGUCUUGCAGGUGAUUCUGAUGAACACCAAAACUUGAGACACUGACAUAAAAUUUUAUGGGAGCACCAAGGAUUACCCAAGCCAACUAGGACAGCCAGUACAAAGGAAGUACUAUGCGAGCUGGUUAAAGAAGAAGGAAUCGGAGUUAGCAGACAAAGGCCAGGUGGAGGGUUAGAUUCCCAAAAAGUAUUGGCAGCCUACAGAAGAAAUCCUUAAACCUGGAGUCAGAACUGUAAAUUGAAUCCUGGUGCUGCAGUGGCUGCUAUGUGAGUUUGAAUAAGUCACUUAGACUCUGAGUCUCAGUUUCUAUAGAAAUGGUAUCUAUCCCACAACAUUGUUGAAAGAAUGGUUUUUAUUCAACAAAUUCUUCAGCCUACUGUAUGCUAAGCAUUGACUAUAGAUAUUGAAAAUAGAAUUUUUAAAACAUUGAUCCCUGUCUUCAUUGAAUUCAGAGUCUGGUGGGAAAACAGUAGAUAGCAAAGAUUUAUAAAGUCAUGUAGUACUUUCUAUAGAUGAAGUUAUGGGGAGAAACAAAUGGAAAAGAAGCACAAAAGAGGGAGCUUAAAGCAGUGGGUUAAGAGUGCAUAAGAUCCAGAAAGGUUAAGUUUGAGAAGAUUCUUAAAAGACAAGAUUCAUACCACACCACUGCAUCACCCAUAAAAAUCAAUUAAAAUUCUUAGAUAAAAAUUAGAAAAGAUUAAUUUGCUCUAAAUUGAUAUAUAAAUUAAUCAAGGCCUAUGUCUAUAUAAAAUAAACUCAAUUUAGGGGCCAGCCCAGUGGCAUAGUGGUUAAGUUCAUGUGCUCUGCUUCAGCGGCCUGGGGCUCACAGGUUUGUAUCCCAGGCACAGACCUAGCACCACUUGUCAAGCCAUGCUGUGGCAGCAUCCCACAUAAAAUAGAAGAAGAUUGGCACAGAUGUUAGCUCAGUAACAAUCUUCCUCAAGCAAAAAAAAGAAAAGAGGAAGAUUGGCAACAGAUGUUAGCCCAGGGCCAAUCUUCCUCACCAAAAAAAAAAAAAAAAAAAAAAAAACCAUUAUUUUUCAAAAUAAAAUAAAAAUAAAUAAAUAAAUAAAUUCAAUUUAAAGUUUCAUUCAAAAUCACACAGUUGAUGGUGGAAUUAAAAUUAGGCCAAUAAAAUUCAACCAGACCAAGAAAAUGCCAGCUGAUGUGGCACCUCCUAUAUGCCUAGCAAUGUUAAAAGAAAAGCAGGUAUUAACAGAAAUUUAUGAUUCAUAUUUUUACCCUCGAGGAAUUACACUAUUCCAGUCAGCAAGAUUUAUAUACGUAAAAUUAUUCAAAAUGUAAAAUAAGUUUGGAUUCAACACAAUGCCAAAAAGACAUUAUAUAACACAGCUGGUCUGAAAGCAAAGAGAAACAGGGCUGUCUGGAUUUACUGAGGAAGAUUUUAAGGAAAAUGUGGCACCAAGAAUAGGAUUUAUCAGCUAUAAAUAAGUCAAGAGAAAGGAGGCUGGCAUUCCAAGUAAUUGACAUGGUGAAGACACAAAAUAGAUGCGCAUGGAAUAUGGAUGACAGAAAAUACAAUGGAUCAACUUGAGUAGAUUUAGGCCCUGAGGAUCAGGAAUUUGAAUUAUCAUAGACAUAUCCUUAAUGCCAAAGAAAGAAGAACCCCUGAACUCUAGUUUAGUAAUAUUUUCAUUAAACCAUGGAAUCAACUCUUUUUCUCUCUACCAAAAUUAGAUGCUUAAGUCCACAACAAAAAAUGAGAGAAAGAAAGAAAAGAGCCCUACAGUAUUCCCCAAGAGAAAUGUAACACAGAAAGGGUCAAUCUAGAAUACAGUGGCAGAUUUCUCUGGAACACUACCCUCCCUAGUUACCCUUCAGAUAAACUCCACAAAGAGCAUUUUGACACAAAAACUUGUCUCAUUAUGGCUAAAUUGUGCAUACCAUAUUUGAAAAAAGUAUAUUUCCAUAAAAACAUUUUGUAAUGAACACACUCUUUUGAUAUCAUGACAACAUUCUC